CUACGGGUCGCUGCAGUGAGGAAUAUUGCACAAUGGGGGGAACCCUGAUGCAGCAACGCCGCGUGGAGGAUGACGCAUUUCGGUGUGUAAACUCCUUUUAUAUGUCAAGAAAAUGACGGUAGCAUAUGAAUAAGCACCGGCUAACUCCGGUGCCAGCAGCCGCGGUAAUACGGAGGGUGCAAGCGUUACUCGGAAUCACUGGGCGUAAAGGACGCGUAGGCGGGUUGGAAAGUCAGGUGUGAAAUCCUACAGCUUAACUGUAGAACUGCACUUGAAACUUCUAAUCUAGAGUAUGGGAGGGGGAGAUGGAAUUAGUGGUGUAGGGGUAAUAUCCGUAGAUAUCACUAGGAAUACCUAAAGCGAAGGCGAUCUCCUGGAACAUUACUGACGCUAAGGCGUGAAAGCGUGGGGAGCAAACAGGAUUAGAUACCCUUGUAGUC
Molecule: ribosomal RNA, 440 nt
Filed under: uncultured bacterium
Lineage: Bacteria
Description: partial 16S ribosomal RNA
Rfam family: Bacterial small subunit ribosomal RNA
Source: RNAcentral